This 484-nucleotide ribosomal RNA is filed under the name uncultured bacterium. RNAcentral describes it as "partial 16S ribosomal RNA". It matches the Rfam family "Bacterial small subunit ribosomal RNA", at positions 30 to 507 of the family's 1533-position model. The record is from RNAcentral.
AUUGAACGCUGGCGGCAGGCCUAACACAUGCAAGUCGAGCGGAUGAAGGGAGCUUGCUCCUGGAUUCAGCGGCGGACGGGUGAGUAAUGCCUAGGAAUCUGCCUGGUAGUGGGGGAUAACGUCCGGAAACGGGCGCUAAUACCGCAUACGUCCUGAGGGAGAAAGUGGGGGAUCUUCGGACCUCACGCUAUCAGAUGAGCCUAGGUCGGAUUAGCUAGUUGGUGGGGUAAAGGCCUACCAAGGCGACGAUCCGUAACUGGUCUGAGAGGAUGAUCAGUCACACUGGAACUGGGACACGGUCCAGACUCCUACGGGAGGCAGCAGUGGGGAAUAUUGGACAAUGGGCGAAAGCCUGAUCCAGCCAUGCCGCGUGUGUGAAGAAGGUCUUCGGAUUGUAAAGCACUUUAAGUGGGGAGGAAGGGCAGUAAGUUAAUACCUUGCUGUUUUGACGUUACCAACAGAAUAAGCACCGGCUAACUUCGUG